UUCGAUGUUUCCCUCGUUUCUGUAGUCAGAGUCUGCGCGAUAAUGGUCUCACUCCAUCGUUUCUAUCACCAUUAGUGAUUUUCCAAUAUUUAUCUCACUAGAGACAGCUCUAGAUUAUUCGUAAAUUUACAAACUCACAUGUGCCAAGUUCUGAGCGCCGCUUGUGAAACUUCAUCAUUCAAAAAUACUCUCAUAUUUAAGUUACAGAAACUAUCAGCAAGAUUCCCAGAGUUCAGGUUGCCAUUAGUGAGUUCCCAACUUGACAAUGCUUGCCGGAACCCAAUGAAAAAUUUUUACAUACAUGGAUUAAUGUGACGAAACCAUGUACUUGAUGAGGAUGACGGUCAAGACCAGGUUGGGGUUCAAUGUCAAGACAAAACGACAUGUUUCAAUCUCAUUUUCCAAAAAUAUCAUAGUAGCGAAUGAUGCAAUUGGGCUGGACAAGGAAAUUCUUAUCAGAAUCCGAUAAGGGAAGCCUGAUCAGGGUCAGAGGCGUGCUGAGCGUUACAGACCCAUGAUGAGAAACAACCGGGUGUAUCUCUUCCCGUAAAGAAAGGCAAGAGGGAGGGAGAGAGAAAAAGAGAGAAGAAAAAAUACUCCCUUUUAACGAAAACGGGAAACUUUAAUGCGUCCCACGAGGGUGAGUUAUGUGGGGCUGGGUUACUCUAGUGGAGAACCAGAAAAUGUAUUCGCGCAGCAUCUCUACGACGACUCUAGUGAGAGAAAUGGAAACAAAGAAUGAGAACGAGAGACGAAUGAUGUUUCUACGGGGGAAAGUUUAAAUAUGCGCUUCAAUUUGCAAUUUAAUUGUAACAUAUUCAGCGCCGAGAACUGCACAGAAAGGAAAGAAAAAAAGAAAACAGUGCUAAAAAUUCUUCCCUGUCGAGCAAGAUCGUGUGUAAAAAAAUUAGUGGAACAGUGGAUGAAAAAAUAAAACGCAAAUAUCGUGCUUAUACCAAAUAUUGCUUACAUGCCCAUGGAAUAAAAUGCCAAGUACUCUAUUGAAUUCAACCUUUUGUUUGAAUUUUUACACCUGCAGAAGUUGUUAAAUGUAGCCGCACAUAGAUGUGGGCCUGGAGCAUCAUAGCUUUUCCGUUUCCACGCGUUUUAACUGAAUAAUAUCCGCAAAGUGUACACAUAGAGAAAGCCAGUAGAAAUACUGCCUGGAUGGUACGACGUCGAGGGCAG
RNAcentral lists this long non-coding RNA (1188 nucleotides) under Venturia canescens. RNAcentral's name for it is "uncharacterized LOC122410029, transcript variant X5". Lineage: Eukaryota; Metazoa; Arthropoda; Insecta; Hymenoptera; Ichneumonidae. The record is from RNAcentral.